ACAAAACUCAAGACAGGAGAUCCUCAGAAUAAGCAUUACAAUGGCGUGUCUGGAUGGCAAAUGGCAACCAGAUAUGGGGGCAGAGAAGUCAGCAUUUUACUAAUACAAUAAUAAUCUUUGCACAGUGCACUAUAACAUGCCUACAAGGACACGUGUGUCAUGGGUCGUAAGGACUAAAGUGGGUGCAGAGAGUUAGACGCUCCCAUGUAAAUCUUAACUGCCCCACUGGUUGGUGGUUGUACCCAUCAUAUUACAUGUCUACUCCCCGAAGAACAUCCUGCAACCAGCUGAGUAGGCCAUCCUCUGUCAGCCACCGUGUGUGCGAACGUGUUAUGCAUUGUCUAUAUGUCAGUAUGUGUGCAUACAUACCUUGGUGUACAUAUCCGCAGUAUAAUAAAAAACACUCUAGUCCA
Molecule: long non-coding RNA, 413 nt
Filed under: Rattus norvegicus (Norway rat)
Lineage: Eukaryota; Metazoa; Chordata; Mammalia; Rodentia; Muridae
Description: long non-coding RNA NONRATT009087
Source: RNAcentral